RNAcentral lists this long non-coding RNA (1778 nucleotides) under Homo sapiens (human). RNAcentral describes it as "HSALNT0189925". The record is from RNAcentral. Lineage: Eukaryota; Metazoa; Chordata; Mammalia; Primates; Hominidae.
GGGCACUCAAACCACAAGACACAGUCCUUCCCACUCUUCCCUUCCUUUUCCAAAGGCAGAGGAGCCUCAACCUGCAGCCACCACCACCCCAGGCCACAGGGAGUACUGCCAGACAACUAUCGAUGUUCCCUUAAGGCCCAACAUCUCUUCAAUCAGCUUGUGGUGAAUGCUGCCUGGCCUGGAACUCACCCUGCAGGAACAGGAUUCAUCACUCGGUGUUUGAUGUGAAGUCCCUUCAGCUCUCCAAGCCCCAGUGUCCUCGUGAAUCAAGCGGAGAUCAUCUUAAAGCCCUCAACAGGGACAAGUGUGAAGGAACCAGUAAGAGAAUGCUGAGAUCAGAAGCCUGGAUCCUGCCCAGCCCCAUCCCCGAUGGUCUCAUGCCAACCGUCAGGACCCAACGUUAUCCAGAGACUGGGCUCUAACCACAGCCUGGACUCCUCUAACCCUGGGCCCAGCCACAACCACUCUAGGACUUCUGCUUUGGAAAACAGAAAGCUCAAGCCCCCGAAAAUAAAAGUCCUGGAAAUGUUCCCAGUUAGCAGACACUAGGUCUCCCCUAGUGACACAGAGAGAAGAGAAACAAACAGGCACUAGGAGGGAUUGAGGUGGUCCCUCUGUCCCCCACACACUCCUUCACCCACUGGGCAGCUGCAGCAAUGCUCUCUGUCUUGGUGAUGUCCAUGGUCACCGUCUCCAGCCUGUCUGAAGUCUGGCCCCUCAGCUGCUUGGUCCCCUUCUCUGUCCUACAUGCAGCUCCCGCAAGCCUGUGCAUUCAGUUGUCUGGCCAGUAGCUUCCUGAAGCGUGAGUCACAGCUCAUGAUGAACACGUACUUGUCUCUCAGGUGACUCACCACCUGCCUCUCCCAGUACCAGUGCAGAAGGUAGUAUAGGCCCAGGAGGACCGCCAGGUAGAGCCACAUGGCUUUGCAGAGGACAGACCCAGACGGGCUGGGGUGAAGUGAGAGUCUGGCCUCUGUUCAGACAGGAGGACUUAAGAACACAGAGGGCUGAGGUAGGCAGGGAAGCCCUCAGGCAUUUUGGCAGAAAGUCCUCACUUUCCUCUCUGAUCACUGUCUUUCUGCACCAUUUUUUAUCCUGGCUUCAUCUCUCUGCUCUUUCAACUGCCUUUGCAGGUGUUCAUGCAUGCAACUGCAAACCCCAAGCUCUGCCCAGUGAGUAGUUAUCACUACUCAGCAAUGCUUCCCUAGUCCACCAAUGCCUCUCUGCCUUGCUGUGCCUACUCAGGUGUCCACACAGGGGCCCACACACACACACCAUGAAACACACCACUCUGAUCUACAAACAAGGGUCAGAACUUGUCUCUACAUAUCUUGUGAUAUGGUUUGGAUAUUUGUGCCACCAAAAUUGCAUGUUGAAAUGCGUUCCCCAAUAUUGGAGGCAGGAGCUGGUGGGAGGUGUUGGGUCAUGGUAGUGGAUCCCUCAUGGCUUGGUGCUGUCCUGGAGACACUGGAAUGAGUUGUGAUGGGAUCUGGUUGUUUAAAAGUGUGGCACCUCCCCAGCUCUCUCUUUCUUGCUCCCACUUGCCAUGUGACAAAUCAGCUCCCCCUUUGACUUCUGCAGUGAUUAUAAGCUUCCUGAUGCCUCACCAGGAGCCAAGCAGAUGCAUGCUUGUACAGCCUGCAGAACCAUGAGCCAAUUAAACCUGUUUUCUUUAUAAAUUACCCAGUCUCAGGUAUUUAUUAUAGCAACACAAGAACGGCCUAACACACAUUGUAUACCAACACUCCUGGACCAUGGUCUCCCAGAAAACAGACUUU